AAUCAACGCUGGCGGCGUGCCUAACACAUGCAAGUCGAACGAGAAAGCUUUCUUCGGAGAGCAAGUAAAGUGGCAAACGGGUGAGUAACGCGUGGGAUAUCUACCCUGAUGAGGGGAAUAACUCUCCGAAAGGAGAGCUAAUACCGCAUAUACCGUGCAAACGGGAAAGGUCUUCGGAUCGCAUCAGGAGGAGCCCGCGUCCGAUUAGCUAGUUGGUGAGGUAAUGGCUCACCAAGGCGACGAUCGGUAGCCGGUCUGAGAGGACGGACGGCCACACUGGGACUGAGACACGGCCCAGACUCCUACGGGUGGCAG
Molecule: ribosomal RNA, 315 nt
Filed under: uncultured Acidobacteriota bacterium
Lineage: Bacteria; Pseudomonadati; Acidobacteriota
Description: bacterial SSU rRNA
Rfam family: Bacterial small subunit ribosomal RNA
Source: RNAcentral